GACGAACGCUGGCGGCGUGCCUAAUACAUGCAAGUAGAACGCUGAAGCUUGGUGCUUGCCCCGAGCGGAUGAGUUGCGAACGGGUGAGUAACGCGUAGGUAACCUGCCUGGUAGCGGGGGAUAACUAUUGGAAACGAUAGCUAAUACCGCAUAAGAGUAGAUGUUGCAUGACAUUUGCUUAAAAGGUGCAAUUGCAUCACUACCAGAUGGACCUGCGUUGUAUUAGCUAGUUGGUGAGGUAACGGCUCACCAAGGCAACGAUACAUAGCCGACCUGAGAGGGUGAUCGGCCACACUGGGACUGAGACACGGCCCAGACGCCUACGGGAGGCAGCAGUAGGGAAUCUUCGGCAAUGGACGGAAGUCUGACCGAGCAACGCCGCGUGAGUGAAGAAGGUUGUCGGAUCGUAAAGCUCGGUUGUAAGAGAAGAACGAGUGUGAGAGUGGAAAGUUCACACUGUGACGGUAUCUUAACAGAAAGGGACGGCUAACUACGUG
RNAcentral lists this ribosomal RNA (497 nucleotides) under uncultured bacterium. Its description in RNAcentral is "partial 16S ribosomal RNA". It matches the Rfam family "Bacterial small subunit ribosomal RNA", at positions 28 to 507 of the family's 1533-position model. The record is from RNAcentral.